UGGGGAAUAUUGCACAAUGGGCGCAAGCCUGAUGCAGCCAUGCCGCGUGUAUGAAGAAGGCCUUCGGGUUGUAAAGUACUUUCAGUCGGGAGGAAGGUGGUAAGGUUAAUAACCUUAUCAAUUGACGUUACCGACAGAAGAAGCACCGGCUAACUCCGUGCCAGCAGCCGCGGUAAUACGGAGGGUGCAAGCGUUAAUCGGAAUUACUGGGCGUAAAGCGCACGCAGGCGGUUGAUUGAGUCAGAUGUGAAAUCCCCGGGCUUAACCCGGGAAUUGCAUCUGAUACUGGUCAGCUAGAGUCUUGUAGAGGGGGGUAGAAUUCCAUGUGUAGCGGUGAAAUGCGUAGAGAUGUGGAGGAAUACCGGUGGCGAAGGCUGCCCCCUGGACAAAGACUGACGCUCAGGUGCGAAAGCGUGGGGAGCAAACAGG
This 429-nucleotide ribosomal RNA is filed under the name Chloroflexota bacterium. Its description in RNAcentral is "Chloroflexi bacterium partial 16S ribosomal RNA". It matches the Rfam family "Bacterial small subunit ribosomal RNA", at positions 355 to 776 of the family's 1533-position model. Lineage: Bacteria; Bacillati; Chloroflexota. The record is from RNAcentral.